GACGAACGCUGGCGGCGUGCUUAACACAUGCAAGUCGAACGGAAAGGCCCGGCUUUUGUGGGUUGCUCGAGUGGCGAACGGGUGAGUAACACGUGAGUAACCUGCCCUUGACUUUGGGAUAACUUCAGGAAACUGGGGCUAAUACCCGAGAUGAGCUCCUGCUGCAUGGUGGGGGUUGGAAAGUUUCGGCGGUGGUGGAUGGACUGGCGGCUUAUCAGCUUGUUGGGGGGGUAGUUGCUUACCAAGGCUUUGACGGGUAGCCGGCCUGGGAGGGUGACCGGGGACCAUGCUACUGAGGUAGGGACCAGACUCGUACGGGACGCAGCAGUCGGGAAUCUUGCGCAAUGGGCGCACGCGUGAUGCAGCGACGUCGCGUGCGGGAUGCCCGGUUUCGGGUUAUGAACAGCUUUCGCAUGUGACGAAGAGUGAGUGACGGUACUGGGUCAAGAAGCACCGGCUAACUACGUG
This 468-nucleotide ribosomal RNA is filed under the name uncultured bacterium. RNAcentral describes it as "partial 16S ribosomal RNA". It matches the Rfam family "Bacterial small subunit ribosomal RNA", at positions 28 to 507 of the family's 1533-position model. The record is from RNAcentral.